Molecule: microRNA, 22 nt
Filed under: Gallus gallus (chicken)
Lineage: Eukaryota; Metazoa; Chordata; Aves; Galliformes; Phasianidae
Description: gga-miR-1612
Source: miRBase by way of RNAcentral
GAAGGAAAAGGAGCUGACUGGG